Molecule: ribosomal RNA, 497 nt
Filed under: uncultured bacterium
Lineage: Bacteria
Description: partial 16S ribosomal RNA
Rfam family: Bacterial small subunit ribosomal RNA
Source: RNAcentral
GAUGAACGCUGGCGGCGUGCCUAAUACAUGCAAGUCGAGCGAACGGACGAGAAGCUUGCUUCUCUGAUGUUAGCGGCGGACGGGUGAGUAACACGUGGAUAACCUACCUAUAAGACUGGGAUAACUUCGGGAAACCGGAGCUAAUACCGGAUAAUAUUUUGAACUGCAUGGUUCAAAAGUGAAAGACGGUCUUGCUGUCACUUAUAGAUGGAUCCGCGCUGCAUUAGUUAGUUGGUAAGGUAACGGCUUACCAAGGCAACGAUGCAUAGCCGACCUGAGAGGGUGAUCGGCCACACUGGGACUGAGACACGGUCCAGACUCCGACGGGAGGCAGCAGUAGGGAAUCUUCCGCGAGGGGCGAAAGCCUGACGGAGCAACGCCGCGUGAGUGAUGAAGGUCUUCGGAUCGUAAAGCGCUGUUAUUAGGGAAGAACAUAUGUGUAAGUAACUGUGCACAUCUUGACGGUACCUAAUCAGAAAGCCACGGCUAACUACGUG